This 289-nucleotide ribosomal RNA is filed under the name uncultured Burkholderiales bacterium. RNAcentral describes it as "partial 16S ribosomal RNA". Lineage: Bacteria; Pseudomonadati; Pseudomonadota; Betaproteobacteria; Burkholderiales. The record is from RNAcentral.
CUACUCGGGUAUCUAAUCCUGUUUGCUCCCCACGCUUUCGUGCAUGAGCGUCAGUGCAGGCCCAGGGGAUUGCCUUCGCCAUCGGUGUUCCUCCGCAUAUCUACGCAUUUCACUGCUACACGCGGAAUUCCAUCCCCCUCUGCCGCACUCCAGCUAUGCAGUCACAAAUGCAGUUCCCAGGUUGAGCCCGGGGAUUUCACAUCUGUCUUGCAUAACCGCCUGCGCACGCUUUACGCCCAGUAAUUCCGAUUAACGCUUGCACCCUACGUAUUACCGCGGCUGCUGGCAC